GAUGAACGCUGGCGGCGUGCCUAAUACAUGCAAGUCGAGCGAACAGACGAGGAGCUUGCUCCUCUGACGUUAGCGGCGGACGGGUGAGUAACACGUGGAUAACCUACCUAUAAGACUGGGAUAACUUCGGGAAACCGGGGCUAAUACCGGAUAACAUGUUGAACCGCAUGGUUCAACAGUGAAAGACGGUCUUGCUGUCACUUAUAGAUGGAUCCGCGCCGCAUUAGCUAGUUGGUAAGGUAACGGCUUACCAAGGCAACGAUGCGUAGCCGACCUGAGAGGGUGAUCGGCCACACUGGAACUGAGACACGGUCCAGACUCCUACGGGAGGCAGCAGUAGGGAAUCUUCCGCAAUGGGCGAAAGCCUGACGGAGCAACGCCGCGUGAGUGAUGAAGGUCUUCGGAUCGUAAAACUCUGUUAUUAGGGAAGAACAAAUGUGUAAGUAACUAUGCACGUCUUGACGGUACCUAAUCAGAAAGCCACGGCUAACUACGUG
This 497-nucleotide ribosomal RNA is filed under the name uncultured bacterium. RNAcentral's name for it is "partial 16S ribosomal RNA". It matches the Rfam family "Bacterial small subunit ribosomal RNA", at positions 28 to 507 of the family's 1533-position model. The record is from RNAcentral.